This 1463-nucleotide long non-coding RNA is filed under the name Homo sapiens (human). RNAcentral describes it as "HSALNT0081845". Lineage: Eukaryota; Metazoa; Chordata; Mammalia; Primates; Hominidae. The record is from RNAcentral.
UUAAAAUUCUUUCUGUUGAGUGAUAAACACAUGCUUGAAAGCUCAAAUUAUAUUUAAAACACCUAUUAAAUAUAUUAUUAUAUUUAUAUGUACAGUAAUAUAAUAAAUGUAUUUUAUAUAUAAUAAUGAUUUAAAGUACUUGUUUAAAAUUCUCUAUUGCUGAGUGAUAAACACAUGCUUCGUAACUUCUCUGGUUCUGUUUUAUUCAUUAUAAUCCUCAAAAACCCUGAAAGAAACAGAAUAACCUUUUUAUUGACCCACUCAAGUUAUUUAAUUUUUAUGUUUCCCUAGCCCAUAUCUGUUCACGUAUAGCUGAAAAUAAAAAAGAAACGGUGGAUUGAAAUUGAAGGGAAAUAGACAAUAGUUAUUGUUCCUAGCUUAAUUGGGAGAGAAAGCCAGAGUAAAAUAAGAGUCUAUUGCAGCUAAGAGGAAGAAGUUCUUUAGUCUCAACCAAAUAUGUAAAUAUAACAUCUCUCUUCUAAUAUUUUUAGUGCUAAUUCCUAGUAUAGAGCUGAUUAAGGGUGGGGGAAGCACAUAUUUAAUGGCCAUUAUUAUGCUAUUCUGAGGAAAAUUCUCUCAGUGUCUAAUAUUUUAAAAAUGGGUUUUAAUUAGAUCUUAUCAGCAACCCUAAAAUGCAACUUUUCUCACCCUCCAGAAAACAAAACAAAACAAAACAAAACUCACACCAUCCCCAAAACUAGGCUUGAUGAAUAACCACAUGGAAAAUAUGGAAAGAUGUUUCAUUAACCACACGGCAGAUGGAACUAGGUGGGAGGAAAACCUACCACAGCUUCUCUUAAUGGCAUAUUCAGGCUUUACUUCAGAAAAGGGAAGCAUCUAAAAAAGAUUGGAAGAAUUUCUCACCACUCUGCAGGCAGCUGUCUCCUCCCAGCACCCAGGACCUGAACUCAGAAACUACCAGCAACACAGACGAACUCCGGGUGAGGACGACAAGAGCUGAGCUCGGGUGCUUGCCUUCUGCACUCUCGGGAGGAGGCACCAGCAUGGGCACCCUUCACAGUUCGGGCCCCUCACUCACAAACGUCUGGCACAUGGAAACAAGCUGGCAAAAAGAUUGUUUUUUUCUUCUGUACUUUUUGUUAUAAGCCUGUGGUGAAGUGUCCAUAUCUGGCAUAAAUGAAUGUGAGUGGUCUUGGGAAUCUAAAUAUAACAUGUUUCUAAGUUACACACAGCAUAAAUGAGUGUUUAUGAGUGGUCUUGGGAAUCUAAAUAUAAUACAUUUCUAAAUUACAACCAACCAACUUACAGGGGGCAUUUUGGUCUUUAACCUGUUUAUUAAAUCAGACACUGCCUGAACUUUCCUCUGAAGGAAGAGAGGAAUGAGUAUUUACUGAAUGCUAAUUAAGUGCUACUCACAUUACUGGAAUGCUUCUCUCUGAUCCACCAGCCCCAGGAGAAAGGCCCUGUCCUCAUUUUGCAAGCGAGGAAAUGGAGGCUCAGAG